AAACACACAGAGAUCCAAAUCGGAAAACCCUAAACCCUUUCAUCGUGAAUGGCUUCAGCGUGCAGCAGAUUCGCGUCACGAAGAGCAUCGAUUUCCUCCAUAAAAUCGGCGAUCAGAUCCAACACUCGCGCCGCUCCUUCUUUCUCUCAACCGGCCACCGCCUCCACUCCUCUCCGCCGCUCCUUCUCGACGAGGAUUGCGCCGGCGCUGGGAUGCGUGCAGUCGAUGUUGCCGCUGCACAGUGCGGUUGCGGUGGCUAGGAUGACGACGCGGCUGAGCAUAACCUCGAGGAGUUGCCGUGCGCUUUCUCAGGGUACUCUCUGCUGCACCUCUCCCGGCCUCUAAUACUUUGUUUUUCAAAAUUGUUCACAAACUGCACAUAGUUAAGUGGGAAUAUGCGGAACCAGCCAAUUAAAGCAUACUGCUUCAUUAUCAAAUGGAAUUGAUGGGACGUGAGACAUUCUUCCUGUUCUUAAGAGCUGGGUCUAUCAGUUCCAAGGUGAUCUGCUAGAAGAGACAUUGAAGAAAGCCUUUAACAUUUGUAAGGUUGGAUUUGUGGUGGUUUUGUUAUAUCUAUAUCCAGAAAGCGGUUAUAUUCGCUGUAAUUCUUUCAGGCUGAGAAAUUGAUUUUUUCCUGAAUAAAAACCUUGAUUUUGUAUAAUCAUUCAUAUGCAUAAUUAGAACUACAUACUGUUCAAUUA
Lotus japonicus is the source of this 701-nucleotide RNA transcript. It is a transcript of the gene named protein NONRESPONDING TO OXYLIPINS 2, mitochondrial, with no coding region annotated. The transcript is spliced from 5 exons. The record is from RefSeq and is a predicted model, not a curated record. NCBI's taxonomy places the organism in Eukaryota, Viridiplantae, Streptophyta, Magnoliopsida, Fabales, Fabaceae.